AGGAUGAACGCUGGCGGCGCGCCUAAUACAUGCAAGUCGAACGGGGUCGCAAGACCUAGUGGCGACCGGGUGAGUAACACGUAGCGGACCUGCCCCUCAGCGGGGACAACAGUUCGAAAGGACUGCUAAUACCGCAUGAGUUCAAAGGGUUUAGAAGCCUUUGAAGAAACUUACGGGGCUGAGGGAGGGCGCUGCGGCCCAUCAGGUAGUUGGUGAGGUAGAAGCUCACCAAGCCGACGACGGG
RNAcentral lists this ribosomal RNA (244 nucleotides) under uncultured bacterium. Its description in RNAcentral is "partial small subunit ribosomal RNA". It matches the Rfam family "Bacterial small subunit ribosomal RNA", at positions 26 to 283 of the family's 1533-position model. The record is from RNAcentral.